This 912-nucleotide long non-coding RNA is filed under the name Olea europaea (common olive). RNAcentral describes it as "long non-coding RNA (OEUR_LNC014268)". The record is from RNAcentral. Lineage: Eukaryota; Viridiplantae; Streptophyta; Magnoliopsida; Lamiales; Oleaceae.
UGUCUUUUACAAAACCUUCAAUCAAAUGUUAUGUCCUUUUUCUAAUACAUCACGAGUUAUUGCGCGGAAAAUUUGGGAAAUCAAUUUCAGUCCAAGUAAUUAAAUCAGUGAAGCAAAUCUAGGCAGCUCCUUCAAGGUCUUGAGUGCAAAGAAGUGAGUUAUAAUUGAAGAAGAUUUUAUCCAAAAUACAGCAGUGCCAAAUACAUUCAGAAAAUAUCAAAUGAUUUACUGUGAUUUUGUGAAAAGUAACCAUUCUUGUAGUCUGAAUAUAAGUUCAUGGGUAGGUAUUCAGUAAUCAGUUCAAUUUCAGAAGGCUUAAAAAUAAAAAAAACCUAACCAGUGCAACAAGUCAUACAAGACUCAUAAUCCAGCACUCUUAGUCUAAAUAUAGCAUUUUUUAUUUUUUAGCAGCAAAAUCCAUCAUCAUAUCAAAAUCUAAUGCUAACCAUUCAUUUUAACAAUUCUAACUCACCACAUAAAGAUUAAAAUCAAUCAAAAGUACUAGAUACUGAAUUGUGCAGAUACCCACUUGAAAAAUUCAGUCAUACGAAAAAUGAUUUAUUGCGAACAAGAACAAAUAACCUAAAAUUGAAUAUAAAAAGCAGAAACAUAACAGUGCUUGAAUAUGAGGGUGAGUGGAGAAAGAGUGAAUCAACAUACCAACAACGCUGGAUCCACCCGAACCUAAGGUCAUUGAGAUAUUUGCGGAACAGAGUUGACAAAUCCAAUUUGAUCUAAAAGCUUGAAUGACCGGAGACCACGACGCAGUAGGGAGAUUUUAGGGAAGGGCAGAGAGCAAGAGUCGCGCAAUAUUUUCUUGUUUGAACCAAAAUCGCACUUUUGUGACUGAAGUUGCAUUUGAGCAAAUUUCUCUUGAAAGUCAGAGCUGCAAUGCGACUUAGUCAAUUUAAA